RNAcentral lists this long non-coding RNA (277 nucleotides) under Gossypium raimondii (Peruvian cotton). Its description in RNAcentral is "long non-coding RNA (GRAI_LNC002734)". Lineage: Eukaryota; Viridiplantae; Streptophyta; Magnoliopsida; Malvales; Malvaceae. The record is from RNAcentral.
AAAAAAUAAAAGGGUUUCGAAAAAAGAACAAAAGUAAAAACCUUUGCUUUCGGGACCUUUUUUUUACUUUUUUGUUUGAAUCUCCUCUUUUUAUUUCUUAGAAACCAGAGAAAAGAAGGGAUUUCCCCUGAUAAAAUCUGUUUUAGAAUCAGUUUUUUAUCGAAAAAAAAAAAAAACCAAAAGCCCCCCUUUUACAUUGAAAUCUUUGAUUUUUAUAGCCAAAUGCCUAUAUGCUUUUUUCUGUUUGUUACUGCUUCUCUGCUGUUUUUGCGUGCUC